Molecule: transfer RNA, 72 nt
Filed under: Guyanancistrus brevispinis
Lineage: Eukaryota; Metazoa; Chordata; Actinopteri; Siluriformes; Loricariidae
Also listed under: 1 other name
Description: tRNA-Val
Rfam family: tRNA
About the family: Transfer RNA (tRNA) molecules are approximately 80 nucleotides in length.
Source: RNAcentral
CAGGACAUGGCUGAGAUAGUUAAGCAUCUCCCUUACACCGAGAAGACAUCCAUGCAAGUUGGAUUAUCCUGA